This is a long non-coding RNA of Hibiscus syriacus, 524 nucleotides long. RefSeq lists it as uncharacterized. The transcript is spliced from 4 exons. The record is from RefSeq and is a predicted model, not a curated record. Lineage: Eukaryota; Viridiplantae; Streptophyta; Magnoliopsida; Malvales; Malvaceae.
UAGAAGGCUGUUCUAGAAGUGCUUCUCGGCUUUUAAUCAAUCGUUGGGCAGCUGCCUUACAUCGCUAUCAUGAUACAUCUAUUGAUUUGUCUGAAGGACCUGUUCUGUACUCUGGAAGUAGUGAUUCAGCCUGGAGGAAUUUCAGACUUCCCCAUCAGAUGAUGUCCCCAACAAACACUACUGGGCCGCAUCAAGCUCACAGAUGGAUUUCUUACCCGAUCUUCUUCGUGCAAUUCAAAAUGCCAAUGCUGACAACUAACUACAGACAAAGUGCGGCGAAUGCGAUGUUGACUAAGGAAAGCUCAAGAAGCCAAUGGGUGUCGUCCUCGAUACGGCCAUUUCACAUACACUUGAGAAAUUUUUAUUGUUUGGUUUCUGGGUUUUUGUUUGUUCAUUUUUUUGGGGCAGAGGAAGAAAAACUUUGGUGAGCAUAUACGGUAGGAGGAGAAAACUGACCACAGAAGGAGUUCUGUAAUCCACAAAAUGUCUCGGAGAAUAUACACCACUGGUUCGUCAAUAUUUCA